GACGAACGCUGGCGGCGUGCCUAAUACAUGCAAGUAGAACGCUGAAGGAGGAGCUUGCUUCUCUGGAUGAGUUGCGAACGGGUGAGUAACGCGUAGGUAACUUGCCUGGUAGCGGGGGAUAACUAUUGGAAACGAUAGCUAAUACCGCAUAAGAGUAGAUGUUGCAUGACAUUUGCUUAAAAGGUGCAAUUGCAUCACUACCAGAUGGACCUGCGUAGUAUUAGCUAGUUGGUGGGGUAACGGCUUACCAAGGCGACGAUACAUAGCCGACCUGAGAGGGGGAUCGGCCACACUGGGACUGAGACACGGCCCAGACUCCUCCGGGAGGCAGCAGUAGGGAAUCUUCGGCAAUGGCCGGAAGUCUGACCGCGCAACGCCGCGUGAGUGAAGAAGGUUUUCGGCUCGUAAAGCUCUGUUGUAAGAGAAGAACGAGUGUGAGAGUGGAAAGUUCACACUGUGACGGUAUCUUACCAGAAAGGGACGGCUAACUACGUG
RNAcentral lists this ribosomal RNA (495 nucleotides) under uncultured bacterium. RNAcentral's name for it is "partial 16S ribosomal RNA". It matches the Rfam family "Bacterial small subunit ribosomal RNA", at positions 28 to 507 of the family's 1533-position model. The record is from RNAcentral.